RNAcentral lists this ribosomal RNA (253 nucleotides) under uncultured bacterium. RNAcentral's name for it is "partial 16S ribosomal RNA". It matches the Rfam family "Bacterial small subunit ribosomal RNA", at positions 524 to 776 of the family's 1533-position model. The record is from RNAcentral.
UACGGAGGGUGCAAGCGUUAUCCGGAUUCACUGGGUUUAAAGGGUGCGUAGGCGGCUUGAUAAGUCAUUGGUGAAAGCUCGCAGCUUAACUGCGAAACUGCCAUUGAAACUGUCAAGCUUGAAUGUGGUUGAAGUGGGCGGAAUACAACAUGUAGCGGUGAAAUGCUUAGAUAUGUUUUAGAACACCGAUUGCGAAGGCAGCUCACUAAGCCAAUAUUGACGCUGAGGCACGAAAGCGUGGGUAGCGAACAGG